GGAUGUGAGGAGGGUGGUCUGGCUGGCCCAUCUGGUGUCUGAGGUUGGUGCCCUUGCCAUCCUUCACUGCUCCAUGUUUAUCUCUCCAGAAUAGUUCCUUUGUUCAUGAGGAUAGCCUUCUGAGAGCUAGAGGAGGGCCAAUGUUGGUCAGGGGUGUAGUAUAGUGGCUGCACUCCCCUUGCCAGAACUUCUCAACCUGCCCUCAGCAAAGUUACAGAGGGAUUGAUGGGAAAGAAGUGGCUCUUUUCUACCACAGUCCUGCAG
Molecule: small nuclear RNA, 264 nt
Filed under: Mus musculus (house mouse)
Lineage: Eukaryota; Metazoa; Chordata; Mammalia; Rodentia; Muridae
Description: 7SK RNA
Rfam family: 7SK RNA
About the family: 7SK was discovered as an abundant small nuclear RNA in the mid-70s but a possible function has only recently been suggested. Two independent studies have found that 7SK RNA binds the CDK9/cyclin T complex (known as elongation factor P-TEFb). P-TEFb activates transcription by phosphorylating the C-terminal domain of RNA polymerase II.
Source: Rfam by way of RNAcentral